This 496-nucleotide ribosomal RNA is filed under the name uncultured bacterium. RNAcentral describes it as "partial 16S ribosomal RNA". It matches the Rfam family "Bacterial small subunit ribosomal RNA", at positions 28 to 506 of the family's 1533-position model. The record is from RNAcentral.
GAUGAACGCUGGCGGCGUGCCUAAUACAUGCAAGUCGAGCGAACAGACGAGGAGCUUGCUCCUCUGACGUUAGCGGCGGACGGGUGAGUAACACGUGGAUAACCUACCUAUAAGACUGGGAUAACUUCGGGAAACCGGGGCUAAUACCGGAUAAUAUAUUGAACCGCAUGGUUCAAUAGUGAAAGACGGUUUUGCUGUCACUUAUAGAUGGAUCCGCGCCGCAUUAGCUAGUUGGUAAGGUAACGGCUUACCAAGGCGACGAUGCGUAGCCGACCUGAGAGGGUGAUCGGCCACACUGGAACUGAGACACGGUCCAGACUCCUACGGGAGGCAGCAGUAGGUAAUCUGCCGCAAUGGGCGAAAGCCUGACGGAGCAACGCCGCGUGAGUGAUGAAGGUCUUCGGAUCGUAAAACUCUGUUAUUAGGGAAGAACAAAUGUGUAAGUAACGAUGCACGUCUUGACGGUACCUAAUCAGAAAGCCACGGCUAACUACGU